Long non-coding RNA from Macrobrachium nipponense, 575 nucleotides. RefSeq lists it as uncharacterized. The transcript has 3 exons. The record is from RefSeq and is a predicted model, not a curated record. Lineage: Eukaryota; Metazoa; Arthropoda; Malacostraca; Decapoda; Palaemonidae.
UGGCGCUGCUUGCAGCAGUGAUGGUUUAUCUCGGCUCGGGAGUUUGAAUAAGUUUUAAAUGUGUCCUGUGAAUUAUUUCGUUCAUCGUCAUUGUGUAAACUGUGUUAUAAUUACAGACACUGAGACAGGAGAAAAUGGAAUAACAUUUCACAGUUCGAUUCGUCGCUGCAGACAAGAUUAAGCUUCUCUUCAGGAGCGCAGUCAAGAUUAAUGUUAUUUGUGAUCUGUCUCAGUUACGCAAUACUUUGCCUUGGCUCGCUUGUGACGUCACGGUGAAUUCAUCUCGUCCUCCAGAAAAUUUGCGAGGGUAACACAUGGGAUCGUUUUUGCUUAAAACUCGUCCAUAUCCUCCAUUUUGAAGAAAGCUACGACAAAUUUUCUUGAAGGACAAGAGUAAAGGACAAAUAAUGCCAAUCUACGCGCCAUGAAUUUCGGUGGCAAGGAUCCAGGAUUUUAAACUUGGCAGACAGAAUCCAGGGUGGCGAUACGCUACCGAAGAAACGCAAUAGACUAGAGCAGAAUGAAGAAUUCUGUCAUCAAGGUCAAGCUGCACGGAUCUUACGGGCAUCCCGUGA